GGUAACCCCUUAAAAACGGAAUUCCACGACUUGGGGCUACAUUUUCUAACACUAAGCAGGAAACUGGGGAUAGAUAACUCUAGAAAUCCUGUUAUGUAAGGACCUCCAGGAUUCAGCCCUCCAUGUGUCCUUGGUAUCAGAAGUUGGAAUUGCAGAGUUGCCACUUUACCCCCAAAUGUAAUUUUUGAUGUGGUUGUGCCACUUUAACAGUAUUUGAAAUCUCUCUUUGUGCUCUUGCAGCAGCAUUUUUGAACUACAAUUGAAAUUUAGUCCUUCUGCCUGGAGCUGUUCAUAGAAUCGUGGAAUCCCAGAAGGGUUUGGAUGGGAAGGCACCUUUUUUUAAAGCUCAUCCUGUUCCACCCCCUGCCAUGGGCAGGGACACCUUCCACCAUCCCAGGGUGCUCUAAGCCCUGUCCAGCCUGGCCUUGGAUACUUCCAGGGAACCUUCCAGGGAACCGGGGGCAGCCACAGCUUCUCUGGGCAACCUGUGCUGGACAGCAGUAUUGAAAGGCAGAGUGAAGUACAGCUGUGAUUUUUGUGCUGCCCUUAACAUUGUAUUGCCUGACAAAUGUGCCUUUGGGUUUUUUGGUUUUUUUUUUUUUUUUUUUUUUUUUUUUUUUUUUGUUUGUUUUUUUUUUUUUUCAUUUGUUUUGUUUUUGGUUUUUUUGGGGACUAAAAAGAUACCUUGUGUUUCUGGAAUGUUGCAUUCUGCCUCUGUUGUUUUCCCAGUUAAUCUGGAUCCUCUGCUUACAUUUUUUCCUUCACUUAUUAGAUGUUGUGGAUAUGCUGGCUGUUCUGAUGGAGGGCUGUGAUAGCUUAGAUGAAGAAAUUGGGUUCUCUUUAAAUGAAGAUGUGAUUAUCCAAACAUUUCCCUUCGUUGCUUGUUGUCCCUGCUGCACUAGAAGCCAGGAAUAUACUGUUGCUUCAGUCUGAAAAUGGAACAGGAGCAGACCUCGUGGAGUACCUUGGUGCUGUUUUCACUGACCUCCUGUGCUCUCCGAGAGAACCCCUUGCUCUCUGCUUGACGUUCCAGCUCUGUGACAAAGAUCUCCAGUCCCUGAAAGCUGCUAAGUAUCCUCAGCUCUACCAGUUUAACCGAUACUAUAGACUCUGGAUGCCCAAGCAGUGCCAGGAACCUGUGUUUGGAAACCACAAGGAGGUAAGCCAAGAGCCUCCUGUGGCACCGGAUUCUGUAUUUGCCACUUUGCUGAAGGGAGCCUGGGAGAGGGGAAGCAGUACCUUCCUGGAAGAUGGUGUUCAGACAAAGUGGAGAGACUCGGCUUCCUGGCUCCCCCCACCUGAGCAGCUUUUGUUGGGAGUAAAGCACGUUCUGCUGUACCCGAAAUCCACAGUGGAGAACUUCAGCAGCCUAAGAGCAGCAUUGUAAUAAUACUGUAGUUAUGCUUGGUUUAUUUUAUGGUAGGAGUUGCAAAUGACUUGGCUGCUAAAAUUUAGGUUCCAGUGCUGUAGCUAUUUUUUCUCUACUCAGCUCCAAGGGUACGCAGCACCGUACAAAACUGCGCCUGAUUUGUAAACAAAUGUCAGUUGUUCUGAUUAUUGAAGCCAGGCUUUAUUCAGUUGAAUCCCGACUGUGUGCUGCGCCCAGGUCCUUUGUACAAAUAGGAACAUCGAAGGAUAAGUCCCA
Molecule: non-coding RNA, 1645 nt
Organism: Taeniopygia guttata (zebra finch)
Lineage: Eukaryota; Metazoa; Chordata; Aves; Passeriformes; Estrildidae
Source: RefSeq, a predicted model, not a curated record